UCAUGAAUAUCAUUAAUUUAACUAUUAUCUCUUUAAGAACAAGAUUUAAUUUCUAAAAUUUAAAUUAAGUACCCUCUAAAGUUAGUUUCACCACACCACAUAAGAUAUGAUAUGGUGGACAGAUUAGAGGAUAGGUCUGUGAGAGCUCAUUUAUGGGGUAUCCUAAAAGAGUUUGGGAUGUCAUUUUUUCUUUCCAGUAGUUCAUAAUGUGAUUGUAAGCAAUCAUACUAUUUUCUUAAAAAUAGUGGGAGGAUGA
RNAcentral lists this long non-coding RNA (256 nucleotides) under Elaeis guineensis (African oil palm). RNAcentral's name for it is "long non-coding RNA (EGUI_LNC046145)". Lineage: Eukaryota; Viridiplantae; Streptophyta; Magnoliopsida; Arecales; Arecaceae. The record is from RNAcentral.